UGAUGCUGGGAAAUGUAGUUCUGG
RNAcentral lists this microRNA (24 nucleotides) under Ornithorhynchus anatinus (platypus). RNAcentral's name for it is "oan-miR-1344". Lineage: Eukaryota; Metazoa; Chordata; Mammalia; Monotremata; Ornithorhynchidae. The record is from miRBase by way of RNAcentral.